Molecule: ribosomal RNA, 374 nt
Filed under: Aphis nasturtii (buckthorn aphid)
Lineage: Eukaryota; Metazoa; Arthropoda; Insecta; Hemiptera; Aphididae
Description: bacterial SSU rRNA
Rfam family: Bacterial small subunit ribosomal RNA
Source: RNAcentral
GCGGCAAACGGGUGAGUAAUAUCUGGGAAUCUACCCAAAAGAGGGGGAUAACUACUAGAAAUGGUAGCUAAUACCGCAUAAAGUUGAAAAACCAAAGUGGGGGACCUUUAGGCCUCAUGCUUUUGGAUGAGCCCAGAGGAGAUUAGCUUGUUGGUAAGGUAAAAGCUUACCAAGGCAACGAUCUCUAGCUGGUCUGAGAGGAUAGCCAGCCACACUGGAACUGAGACACGGUCCAGACUCCUACGGGAGGCAGCAGUGGGGAAUAUUGCACAAUGGGUGAAAGCCUGAUGCAGCUAUGCCGCGUGUAUGAAGAAGGCCUUAGGGUUGUAAAGUACUUUCAGCGGGGAGGAAAAAAAUAAAACUAAUAAUUUUAU